Molecule: unclassified non-coding RNA, 243 nt
Filed under: Hevea brasiliensis (rubber tree)
Lineage: Eukaryota; Viridiplantae; Streptophyta; Magnoliopsida; Malpighiales; Euphorbiaceae
Source: RNAcentral
CAGAGGAAAUUCGAUGAUCACCUGUCCAAUUUAGGGAUAGAGUUUAUGAUUCAGCAAAGAUGGACUCUAGAAACCUUCACGUUUCUCAUACACUAUAGGUUAAUAUAAUCAUAGCAAAAUUUUGAAUCACUAUAUCAUAUGUUAAACAGGUUUGUGGAACCACAAAAGUUAUUGAGUAACAACAUAGCCCUUUUGAAUUACUCUGCCUGAAAAUUGAGGAAAUUUUAUUACAUAAUUUGUCUG